RNAcentral lists this ribosomal RNA (480 nucleotides) under Sulfitobacter dubius. Its description in RNAcentral is "bacterial SSU rRNA". It matches the Rfam family "Bacterial small subunit ribosomal RNA", at positions 408 to 906 of the family's 1533-position model. Lineage: Bacteria; Pseudomonadati; Pseudomonadota; Alphaproteobacteria; Rhodobacterales; Roseobacteraceae. The record is from RNAcentral.
AUGAAGGUCUUAGGAUCGUAAAGCACUUUCGCCAGGGAUGAUAAUGACAGUACCUGGUAAAGAAACCCCGGCUAACUCCGUGCCAGCAGCCGCGGUAAUACGGAGGGGGUUAGCGUUGUUCGGAAUUACUGGGCGUAAAGCGUACGUAGGCGGAUCAGAAAGUUGGGGGUGAAAUCCCGGGGCUCAACCCCGGAACUGCCUCCAAAACUCCUGGUCUUGAGUUCGAGAGAGGUGAGUGGAAUUCCAAGUGUAGAGGUGAAAUUCGUAGAUAUUUGGAGGAACACCAGUGGCGAAGGCGGCUCACUGGCUCGAUACUGACGCUGAGGUACGAAAGUGUGGGGAGCAAACAGGAUUAGAUACCCUGGUAGUCCACACCGUAAACGAUGAAUGCCAGUCGUCGGGCAGUAUACUGUUCGGUGACACACCUAACGGAUUAAGCAUUCCGCCUGGGGAGUACGGUCGCAAGAUUAAAACUCAAAG